UCUACUUCACAACACACAAAGGAGCUGGAGAAACUCAAUGGGCCAGGGAGCAUGUAUGGUGGGAAUGGAUAGUCGAUGUUUUGGGUCGAGACCCUUCAUCAGCCAGCACCUGCAGAAGUGCGCAUUCUUUGUGAUUGGCUGAGAAUCCUGAGGUAUGGGUGGCAUUUUACCCUGCACACCCAAAGGUUUCUUCAGCUUCAGGUAGGAAGGUCCACGAGUUGGAAGCUGUGACAAUGAAGGGAUGCUGAUGCACGACCAGGGCAGGAGCACUACAAUAACUG
Pristis pectinata (smalltooth sawfish) is the source of this 281-nucleotide long non-coding RNA. RefSeq lists it as uncharacterized. The record is from RefSeq and is a predicted model, not a curated record. NCBI's taxonomy places the organism in Eukaryota, Metazoa, Chordata, Chondrichthyes, Rhinopristiformes, Pristidae. The transcript has 3 exons.